This 125-nucleotide small RNA is filed under the name Marmota monax (woodchuck). The record is from RNAcentral. Lineage: Eukaryota; Metazoa; Chordata; Mammalia; Rodentia; Sciuridae.
GCUGGGCCCGGUGGCACAUGCCUGUAAUCCCAGCAGCUCUGGAGGCUGAGGCAGGAGGAUCAUGAGUUCAAAGCCAGCCUCAGCAAAAUUGAGGCACUAAGCAACGCAGUGAGACCCUGUCUCUA